GGUCUGGUGGUGUAGUUGGUUAUCACGUCAGUCUAACAGCUCGAGUGUCUCACCACUCUCGUCUGCCACACUGAAGGUCUCCGGUUCAAGUCCGGGCUAGAUCA
Molecule: non-coding RNA, 104 nt
Organism: Colletotrichum higginsianum
Lineage: Eukaryota; Fungi; Ascomycota; Sordariomycetes; Glomerellales; Glomerellaceae
Source: Rfam